This 418-nucleotide ribosomal RNA is filed under the name uncultured bacterium. RNAcentral describes it as "bacterial SSU rRNA". It matches the Rfam family "Bacterial small subunit ribosomal RNA", at positions 29 to 490 of the family's 1533-position model. The record is from RNAcentral.
AACGAACGCUGGCGGCAGGCCUAACACAUGCAAGUCGAGCGAACCCUUCGGGGUUAGCGGCGGACGGGUGAGUAACGCGUGGGAACGUGCCCUUUGCUACGGAAUAGCCCCCGGGAAACUGGGAGUAAUACCGUAUGUGCCCUUCGGGGGAAGAUUUAUCGGCAAAGGAUCGGCCCGCGUUGGAUUAGGUAGUUGGUGGGGUAAUGGCCUACCAAGCCGACGAUCCAUAGCUGGUUUGAGAGGAUGAUCAGCCACACUGGGACUGAGACACGGCCCAGACUCCUACGGGAGGCAGCAGUGGGGAAUCUUAGACAAUGGGCGCAAGCCUGAUCUAGCCAUGCCGCGUGAUCGAUGAAGGCCUUAGGGUUGUAAAGCUACUUUCAGAUGGGAAGAUAAUGAUGGUACCCAUCAGAAGAAG